UGUUCACACUGCUACCGGAUGUAGUCAAAGUCAGUGGGAACUCGAACUUCCCGCUCCCGCCUGCUUGUGUCCUCAGCGGAUUGCUGACUGUUUGGAAUUGGGGCACAGCCAAGUAUGUCGGGACUACAUGGAACUGCACGAGCUCAACCUGCUGCUCAGACGAGAGCUGGUUCAAAGUCCCAGACUUGAGGCUCGAGAAGGCAUUGUCAUUCGGGGCGAAGAUGGUUAGGCCAUUGUUCGAGUUGUUAAGUUGCGCGUUGAUCUGUUUGUCGACUGAGGUGGCCCUCAUGAGCUUGAGCAGCACCGUAAAUUGGCUCGCCUUCUUGAGGACCUUCGUGAUGUCGGUUGGGCCUGCAGGAGCUGGGCCUAAGACAGGAGGAGCCGGGCCUAAGGCAGGCGUAGCAGGUGCAGCCGGGGCUAUCACAGGCGGAGCUGGGGCGGCCGCAGGCUGAGCCAAGGUGGUAGAGCAUUGGAAGAGCAGGACCAGUAGGAGCAGAAAUGACAGUCUCUUCAUCAUGUUUUUUGCUUUGCUCUUGGUAAGAGGGGGAUUGUGAAGAGAGGACAGUGAAGAAGUGGUACUUGAAGAAGGCUUUUGGUUGUGUGAGGAAAGAGGAGGGAGAGAGUGGCAAUUUAUUUGAAAUCUGGGAAAGAGAGUGGUGCUCAUCAAAGUGGGAGAAAAUGAAAUUAGGUGAGAGGUUCCAAUUUUUAGUUAGGGGAAUUCAGUAGUUAGCACCUCAAUGAUAAGUGUUGUGCGAAAAGCAAAAACAUGGAUGGAAUAAAUGGAGAGAGAGAGAGAGAGAGAGAGAGCCGGGGGAUCAUUCACUGUUACAGCAACUAGUUUGCUUGAGAAAGCAGGAAAAAUAGUAGAGGGAGAUCAAAUGGACAUGGC
Molecule: long non-coding RNA, 889 nt
Filed under: Eucalyptus grandis
Lineage: Eukaryota; Viridiplantae; Streptophyta; Magnoliopsida; Myrtales; Myrtaceae
Description: long non-coding RNA (EGRA_LNC000998)
Source: RNAcentral